RNAcentral lists this small nucleolar RNA (106 nucleotides) under Thalictrum thalictroides. It matches the Rfam family "Plant small nucleolar RNA R71". From Rfam's summary of the family: R71 is a member of the C/D box family of snoRNAs containing the C (UGAUGA) and D (CUGA) box motifs. The record is from RNAcentral. Lineage: Eukaryota; Viridiplantae; Streptophyta; Magnoliopsida; Ranunculales; Ranunculaceae.
AUUUGAUGAUGUUGGCAUUGUAUUUGUAACUCCCCGAAUCUUUCCCAAGCUUCAAAGAAUUCUUCCGUAUGUUUUUGUCUAAAUGUUUGGAUCUUGUUUCUUAACU